CUCUUCCUGUCCGGCUGAGGGGGCGGGGACGUGUGGAUCUCUUGUUCUGAGGGAAGCCAUGUACAUCAUUAGCAGUUCUAUAAAGAGGAUCACAUGGCAAGAAACUGAAACAUUCUGCCAGCUGCCCUGUGAAAGAACUUGGAAGUAGACCCUCCAGCCCUAAUCAAGUCUUCAGAGACUGUACUCAGCCAACAAUUGACUGCAACCUCAUAAGAGACCCUGAGCCAGACCGCCCAACGAGAAACUGUACUAUGGAAAUUAUGUUAGACAAAAAACAAAUGCAAGCAGUUUUCUUAUUCGAGUUCAAAAUGGGCUGCAAAGCAGCAGAGACAACUUGCAACAUCAAGAGUGCAUUUGGCCCAGGAACUGCUAAUGAACGUACAGUGCAGUGGUGGUUCAAGAAGUUUUGCAAAGGAUGGCCAGGCGCAGCAGCUCACACCUAUAAUCCCAGCACUUUGGGAGGCCAAGGCAUCCGGAUCACUUGAAGUCAGGAGUUCGAGGCCAGCCAGGCCAACAUGGUGAAACCCCAUCUCUACUAAAAAUAAAAAAAUUAGCUGGGCAUGGUGGCAUGCACCUGUAAUCCCAGCUACUCGGGAGGCUGAGGUGGGAGAAGCGCUUGAACCCAGGAGGCAGAGGUUGCAGUGAGCUGAGAUUGUGCCACUGCACUCCAGUGACAGAACAAGACUCCGUCUCAAUUUAAAAAGAAAGAAAGAAAGAAAGAAAGUUUUGCAAAGGAGCUGAGAGCCUUGAAGAUGAUGAGCAUAGUGACCGGCCAUGGGAAGUUGACAAUGACCAAUUGAGAGCAAUCAUUGAAGCUGAUCCUCUUAUAGCUACAUGAGAAGUUGCCUAAGAACUCAAUGUUGACCAUUCUAUCGUCACUCAGCAUUUGAAGCAAAUUGGAAAGGUAAAAAAGCUCGAUAAGUGGAUGCCUCAUGAGCCAACUGAAAAUAAAAAAAAUAUAUCGUUUUGAAGUGUUGUCUUCUCUUGUUCUACACAACAAUGAACCAUUUCUCGAUUGGAUUGAGAUGUGCUAUGAAAAGUAGAUUUUAUACAACAGCUGGCAAUGACCAGCUCAAUGGUUGGGCCCAGAAGAAGCUCCACAGCACUUCCCAAAGCACCAAAAACAGGUCAUGGUCACCGUUUGGUGGUCUGCUGCCAGUCUGAUCCACUACGGCUUUCCGAAUCCCAGUGAAACCAUUACAUCUGAGAAGUAUGCUUAGCAAAUCAAUGAGGCACUGAAAAGUGCAACACCUGCAGCUGACAGUGGUCAACAGAAAGGACCCAAUUCUUCUCCACAGCAACUACAAUGCCCGACUGCAUGUCGCACAACCAACCCUUCAAAAGUUGAACAAAUUGAUCUAUGAAGUUUUGCCUCAUCCACCAUAUUCAUCUGACCUGUGGCCAACCAACUACCACUUCUUCAAGCAUCUCAACAACUUUUUGCAGAGAAAACACUUCUACAACCAGCAGGAUGCAGAAAAUACUUUUUAAGAGUUUGGCGAAUCUGGAAGCACAGCUUCUUACACUACAGGAAUAAACGAACUUAUUUCUCAUUGGCAAAAAGGUGUUGAUUGUAAUGGUUCCUAUUUUGAUUAAUAAAAAUAUAUCUGAGCCUAGUUAUA
Molecule: long non-coding RNA, 1622 nt
Filed under: Homo sapiens (human)
Lineage: Eukaryota; Metazoa; Chordata; Mammalia; Primates; Hominidae
Description: non-protein coding lnc-HEPACAM-2:4
Source: RNAcentral